Molecule: non-coding RNA, 281 nt
Organism: Paramuricea clavata
Lineage: Eukaryota; Metazoa; Cnidaria; Anthozoa; Malacalcyonacea; Plexauridae
Source: the annotation of a GenBank genome assembly
AAUGUACUUCAUCAUUUUCUCAAACCAACUUUCUAGAUAUUAAUGAAUGUACAGAAGGAAUGGACAAUUGCCACAACAACUCUAAUUGUAGUAAUUCUGAAGGUUCAUUCAGUUGCAAUUGUAUUCAUGGCUACAUAUACACAGGAAACGCGACUGGUUGUCGAGGUUAGUUGAAAUACUCCACUGUUCGUUUAUUUCAUAUUAAUCUCCGACCACAUUUCAAGCGUCAUACGUAUACCAAUGUUCGAUUUCCCCUUAAUUGGUGUUGAUUUCAAUAACAU